GACGAACGCUGGCGGCGUGCUUAACACAUGCAAGUCGAACGGAAAGGCCCUGCUUUUGUGGGGUGCUCGAGUGGCGAACGGGUGAGUAACACGUGAGUAACCUGCCCUUGACUUUGGGAUAACUUCAGGAAACUGGGGCUAAUACCGGAUAGGAGCUCCUGCUGCAUGGUGGGGGUUGGAAAGUUUCGGCGGUUGGGGAUGGACUCGCGGCUUAUCAGCUUGUUGGUGGGGUAGUGGCUUACCAAGGCUUUGACGGGUAGCCGGCCUGAGAGGGUGACCGGCCACAUUGGCACUGUGCUACGGCCCGGACUCCUGCGGGAGGCAGCAGUGGGGGAUAUUGCACAAUGGGCGGAAGCCUGAUGCAGCAACGCCGCGUGCGGGAUGACGGCCUUCGGGUUGUAAACCGCUUUCGCCUGUGACGAAGCGUGAGUGACGGUAAUGUGUAAAGAAGCACCGGCUAACUACGUG
RNAcentral lists this ribosomal RNA (468 nucleotides) under uncultured bacterium. RNAcentral describes it as "partial 16S ribosomal RNA". It matches the Rfam family "Bacterial small subunit ribosomal RNA", at positions 28 to 507 of the family's 1533-position model. The record is from RNAcentral.